RNAcentral lists this ribosomal RNA (246 nucleotides) under Thalassiosira minuscula. Its description in RNAcentral is "partial Bacterial small subunit ribosomal RNA". It matches the Rfam family "Bacterial small subunit ribosomal RNA", at positions 1069 to 1316 of the family's 1533-position model. Lineage: Eukaryota; Bacillariophyta; Thalassiosirophyceae; Thalassiosirales; Thalassiosiraceae. The record is from RNAcentral.
GAGAUGUUGGGUUAAGUCCCGUAACGAGCGCAACCCUUGUCCUUAGUUGCCAGCAUUUAGUUGGGCACUCUAAGGAGACUGCCGGUGACAAACCGGAGGAAGGUGGGGAUGACGUCAAGUCAUCAUGGCCCUUACGGCCUGGGCUACACACGUGCUACAAUGGCGCGUACAGAGGGCUGCAAGCUAGCGAUAGUGAGCGAAUCCCAAAAAGCGCGUCGUAGUCCGGAUUGGAGUCUGCAACUCGAC